AUCUCUGUGAUUAGUUUUUCUAUAAUCUUAUAAAAUCUGUCUAAAUAUUAUAAACUUGGACAGUAUUUCCAUCUUUUAUUAUAACAUAUCUCCAAAAGCUUACAUCUCCGAAUCUCCACGUCACAUUAAGAGGAAGAAGAAUGACUUGGCAGCUAGUAUAAUGAUGAUGUGACAAAUAAUGCAUGAUGAUGAAGAAGAUGGGAAGAGAGAAUUAAGGAAGAGAUGCAAAUGAUUGAGGGAGAGAAAGAGCGGUGGAGUUUUUAUGGUUCAUGGUUGAUGAGAGUGGUCUCUUCUUCCAGAGUUCACACACCAAAAUUAUGAAAUGAAUGGUGUUUGUAGAAUCGGAUAAAAUGAUGUGUCGUGAGGUUUUAAGGCUGGUGAAAAUCUGUGGUCAUU
Molecule: long non-coding RNA, 396 nt
Filed under: Arabidopsis lyrata
Lineage: Eukaryota; Viridiplantae; Streptophyta; Magnoliopsida; Brassicales; Brassicaceae
Description: long non-coding RNA (ALYR_LNC002083)
Source: RNAcentral